RNAcentral lists this ribosomal RNA (1521 nucleotides) under Faecalibacter macacae. RNAcentral's name for it is "partial 23S ribosomal RNA". It matches the Rfam family "Bacterial large subunit ribosomal RNA", at positions 655 to 2229 of the family's 2925-position model. Lineage: Bacteria; Pseudomonadati; Bacteroidota; Flavobacteriia; Flavobacteriales; Weeksellaceae. RNAcentral also lists the same sequence under 1 other name. The record is from RNAcentral.
CAGGUACGGAGCCGAAGCGAAAGCGAGUCUGAAUAGGGCGAUGCAGUCAGUGGUAUUAGACGCGAAACCUUGUGAUCUACCCAUGGGCAGGUUGAAGCUUUGGUAACACAAAGUGGAGGACCGAACCGGUUGACGUUGAAAAGUCUUCGGAUGACCUGUGGGUAGGGGUGAAAGGCCAAUCAAACUGGGAAAUAGCUCGUACUCCCCGAAAUGCAUUUAGGUGCAGCGUUUAGUAAAGUAUAUUAGAGGUAGAGCUACUGAUUGGAUGCGGGGGCUUCACCGCCUACCAAUUCCUGACAAACUCCGAAUGCUAAUAUAUGUUUCUAGGCAGUGAGGGCAUGGGUGCUAAGGUCCAUGUCCGAGAGGGAAAGAACCCAGACCAUCAGCUAAGGUCCCCAAAUAUAUGCUAAGUUGAAAAAACGCGGUUGGAUUGCAUAGACAGCUAGGAUGUUAGCUUGGAAGCAGCUAUUCAUUUAACGAGUGCGUAACAGCUCACUAGUCGAGCGAUCCGGCAUGGAUAAUAAUCGGGCAUAAGCAUAUUACCGAAGCUAUGGAUUACAUCUUUUGAUGUACUGGUAGGGGAGCAUUCUAUCGACGUUGAAGUCACCUGGUAAUGGGUGGUGGAGUUUAUAGAAAAGAAAAUGUAGGCAUGAGUAACGAUAAAAUAAGUGAGAAACUUAUUCGCCGUAAGACUAAGGUUUCCUAAGCUAUGCUAAUCAGCUUAGGGUUAGUCGGGACCUAACACGAACCCGAAGGGGGUAGUGGAUGGCAAACGGGUUAAUAUUCCCGUACCUGCUCUCAACAAAAGUGACGGAUGAUUGUAGGUGGUGCGUACUGACGGAAUAGUACGUUGAACUUAGGUAAACUAAGGAUAGUACACCAAGGCUUCGGCUGGCGUGAUAAUCCACUGAAAAUUGUCCCUAGAAAUAGCGAGAGAAGCAGCCCGUACCGUAAACCGACACAGGUGGUCGAGGAGAGUAUCCUAAGGCGCUCGAGUGAGUCAUGGUUAAGGAAUUAGGCAAAAUAGUCUCGUAACUUCGGGAGAAGAGACGCUGGCGCAAGUCAGCCGCAGUAAAAAGGCCCAGGCGACUGUUUAUCAAAAACACAGGACUCUGCAAAAUCGAAAGAUGACGUAUAGGGUCUGACACCUGCCCGGUGCUGGAAGGUUAAGGAAGGGGGUUAGAAGCAAUUCGAAGCUCUUAACUGAAGCCCCAGUAAACGGCGGCCGUAACUAUAACGGUCCUAAGGUAGCGAAAUUCCUUGUCGGGUAAGUUCCGACCUGCACGAAUGGUGUAACGAUCUGGGCACUGUCUCAACCAUGAGCUCGGUGAAAUUGUAGUAUCGGUGAAGAUGCCGGUUAAUCGCAACGGGACGAAAAGACCCUGUGAACCUUUACUAUAGCUUUGUAUUGACUUCGGGUAAAUAAUGUGUAGGAUAGGUGGGAGACUAUGAAGGAGCAUCGCUAGGUGUUUUGGAGUCAUUGUUGAAAUACCACCCUUUAUUUACUUGGAGCCUAACUUC